CCUAACGGGUGGCAGCAGUGGGGAAUAUUGGACAAUGGGCGAAAGCCUGAUCCAGCCAUGCCGCGUGUGUGAAGAAGGCCUUCGGGUUGUAAAGCACUUUCAGUGGGGAAGAAAGCCUUGGGGCUAAUACCCUCGAGGAAGGACAUCACCCACAGAAGAAGCACCGGCUAACUCCGUGCCAGCAGCCGCGGUAAUACGGAGGGUGCGAGCGUUAAUCGGAAUUACUGGGCGUAAAGCGCGCGUAGGCGGUCUGAUAAGCCGGUUGUGAAAGCCCCGGGCUCAACCUGGGAACGGCAUCCGGAACUGUCAGGCUAGAGUGCAGGAGAGGAAGGUAGAAUUCCCGGUGUAGCGGUGAAAUGCGUAGAGAUCGGGAGGAAUACCAGUGGCGAAGGCGGCCUUCUGGACUGACACUGACGCUGAGGUGCGAAAGCGUGGGUAGCAAACAGGAUUAGAUACCCGGGUAGUC
RNAcentral lists this ribosomal RNA (466 nucleotides) under Vreelandella stevensii. RNAcentral describes it as "partial 16S ribosomal RNA". It matches the Rfam family "Bacterial small subunit ribosomal RNA", at positions 338 to 795 of the family's 1533-position model. The record is from RNAcentral. Lineage: Bacteria; Pseudomonadati; Pseudomonadota; Gammaproteobacteria; Oceanospirillales; Halomonadaceae.